CCUACGGGAGGCAGCAGUGAGGAAUAUUGGUCAAUGGUCGGGAGACUGAACCAGCCAAGCCGCGUGAGGGAUGAAGGUACAGAGUAUCGUAAACCUCUUUUGUCAGGGAACAAAGGCGGGGACGUGUCCCCGGAUGAGUGUACCUGAAGAAAAAGCAUCGGCUAACUCCGUGCCAGCAGCCGCGGUAAUACGGAGUAUGCGAGCGUUGUCCGGAUUUAUUGGGUUUAAAGGUUGCGCAGGCGGUCUGUUAAGUCAGCGGUCAAAGCCCGGGGCCCAACCCCGGCCCGCCGUUGAAACUGGCAGUCUAGAGUUGGAGAGAGGUAUGCGGAAUGCGCGGUGUAGCGGUGAAAUGCAUAGAGAUCGCGCAGAACUCCGAUUGCGAAGGCAGCAUGCCGGCUCCACACUGACGCUGAGGCACGAAAGCGUGGGGAUCGAACAGGAUUAGAUACCCUUGUAGUC
This 459-nucleotide ribosomal RNA is filed under the name uncultured bacterium. RNAcentral's name for it is "partial 16S ribosomal RNA". It matches the Rfam family "Bacterial small subunit ribosomal RNA", at positions 338 to 795 of the family's 1533-position model. The record is from RNAcentral.